CGCCCCUGUGAAAACGCCCUUAAAUCCCCUGUAGGGAUAAGGAGCUGGUAUUAGGCACAUUUAUAUUGCCCAAAACACCUAGCUAUGCCACACCCACAAGGGACCUCAGCAGUAAUUAACAUUGAACAUUAGCGACAGCUUGAUUCAGUUAAAGUAAAAAGAGCCGGCUAAUCUGGUGCCAGCCGCCGCGGUUACACCAUGUGGCUCAAAUUGACCCCUAUCGGCGUAAAGAGUGAUUUAAGAGUCUUAUUAUUGGCGUUAAAUUUUAACUAAGCUGUGACACGCUUGUUCUUUAGAAACCCCAAAACGAAAGUUACACCAACUAAACCAACUUGAAUUCACGACAACCAAGAGACAAACUGGGAUUAGAUACCCCACUAUGCCUGGCAGUAAACCUUAAACUACACCAAAAUCGCCCGGGAACUACGAGCAAAGCUUAAAACCCAAAGGACUUGACGGUACCCCAAAUCCACCUAGAGGAGCCUGUCCUAUAAUCGAUAAUCCCCGCUUUACCUUACCACUUCUUGUUAAUCAGCCUGUAUACCUCCGUCGUCAGCUUACCCCAUGAGUGAAACAUAGUGAGCUAAAUGCCAUUUCACCAACACGUCAGGUCAAGGUGCAGCUUAUGAAGUGGGAGAGAUGGGCUACACUCCCUAAUCUAGGAUACACAAAAAACUACUUAUGAAAUUUAGUUUGAAGGCGGAUUUAGAAGUAAAAAGAAACCAAAAAGUUCUUUUUAACUCGGCACUGGGGUGUGUACACACCGCCCGUCACCCUCUUCAAAAUCAAAUUAUAGUUUUUAACUUUAACACGAUAAAACAGAAGAGGCA
Molecule: ribosomal RNA, 830 nt
Filed under: Adenomera lutzi (Lutz's thin-toed frog)
Lineage: Eukaryota; Metazoa; Chordata; Amphibia; Anura; Leptodactylidae
Description: partial 12S ribosomal RNA
Rfam family: Bacterial small subunit ribosomal RNA
Source: RNAcentral